This 254-nucleotide long non-coding RNA is filed under the name Mustela putorius furo (domestic ferret). Its description in RNAcentral is "lncRNA (ENSMPUG00000027833.1)". The record is from RNAcentral. Lineage: Eukaryota; Metazoa; Chordata; Mammalia; Carnivora; Mustelidae.
CUCACCAUGGGCUGGAAAGAAACGGGAUUCCAGAAUUCUGGCUUUGCCUCUGCCUGAUGCUCGCAGCAGCUGGUGUCGGCCUGAUUUACCAGGUUGGGUACCCUUCAAUUCAACAGAUGCUCAGCCUUCCUGCUCACUGAGACUCUGGGCCUCUGCAGUGGCAGUUCAAGUGCCUCCCCCUUGUCCCUCUGGCUUCAUCAGCUGUAUUUUGACUCUUUACAUUUGAGUGAGUAAAAAUGCUGACCAGGUCAGAG